AGCCGGGAUUGCCUUAGUAACGGCGAGUGAAGCGGCAAAAGCUCAAAUUUGAAAUCUGGUACCUUCGGUGCCCGAGUUGUAAUUUGGAGAGGGCAACUUUGGGGCCGUUCCUUGUCUAUGUUCCUUGGAACAGGACGUCAUAGAGGGUGAGAAUCCCGUGUGGCGAGGAGUGCGGUUCUUUGUAAAGUGCCUUCGAAGAGUCGAGUUGUUUGGGAAUGCAGCUCUAAGUGGGUGGUAAAUUCCAUCUAAAGCUAAAUAUUGGCGAGAGACCGAUAGCGAACAAGUACAGUGAUGGAAAGAUGAAAAGAACUUUGAAAAGAGAGUGAAAAAGUACGUGAAAUUGUUGAAAGGGAAGGGCAUUUGAUCAGACAUGGUGUUUUGUGCCCUCUGCUCCUUGUGGGUAGGGGAAUCUCGCAUUUCACUGGGCCAGCAUCAGUUUUGGUGGC
This 446-nucleotide ribosomal RNA is filed under the name Saccharomyces cerevisiae (brewer's yeast). RNAcentral's name for it is "eukaryotic LSU rRNA". It matches the Rfam family "Eukaryotic large subunit ribosomal RNA", at positions 67 to 510 of the family's 3401-position model. The record is from RNAcentral. Lineage: Eukaryota; Fungi; Ascomycota; Saccharomycetes; Saccharomycetales; Saccharomycetaceae.